CAGUCGCCGCGGUAAUACGUAGGUGGCAAGCGUUGUCCGGAAUUAUUGGGCGUAAAGGGCUCGCAGGCGGUUUCUUAAGUCUGAUGUGAAAGCCCCCGGCUCAACCGGGGAGGGUCAUUGGAAACUGGGAAACUUGAGUGCAGAAGAGGAGAGUGGAAUUCCACGGGUAGCGGUGAAAUGCGUAGAGAUGUGGAGGAACACCAGUGGCGAAGGCGACUCUCUGGUCUGUAACUGACGCUGAGGAGCGAAAGCGUGGGGAGCGAACAGGAUUAGAUACCCCUGUAGUCCCUGUCUCUUAUAC
This 301-nucleotide ribosomal RNA is filed under the name uncultured bacterium. RNAcentral's name for it is "partial 16S ribosomal RNA". It matches the Rfam family "Bacterial small subunit ribosomal RNA", at positions 509 to 807 of the family's 1533-position model. The record is from RNAcentral.